Molecule: unclassified non-coding RNA, 218 nt
Filed under: uncultured Tomentella
Lineage: Eukaryota; Fungi; Basidiomycota; Agaricomycetes; Thelephorales; Thelephoraceae
Description: sequence contains ITS2
Source: RNAcentral
ACACCUCAACUCUCAUGGUCUGCCAUGAUGAGCUUGGACUUUGGGGGCCUUGCCGGCCUACUGCCGGCUCCUCUCAAAUGAAUCAGCUUGCCAGUGUUUGGUGGCAUCACAGGUGUGAUAACUAUCUACGCUUGUGGUCUGCCGCCAGGUAACCUCCAGUGAUGGAGGUUCGCUGGAGCUCACAAAUGUCUCUCCUCAGCGAGGACAGCUUCUUGAAC